RNAcentral lists this ribosomal RNA (497 nucleotides) under uncultured bacterium. RNAcentral's name for it is "partial 16S ribosomal RNA". It matches the Rfam family "Bacterial small subunit ribosomal RNA", at positions 28 to 507 of the family's 1533-position model. The record is from RNAcentral.
GAUGAACGCUGGCGGCGUGCCUAAUACAUGCAAGUCGAGCGAACAGAUGAGGAGCUUGCUCCUCUGACGUUAGCGGCGGACGGGAGAGUAACACGUGGAUAACCUACCUAUAAGACUGGGAUAACUUCGGGAAACCGGAGCUAAUACCGGAUAAUAUAUUGAACCGCAUGGUUCAAUAGUGAAAGACGGUUUUGCUGUCACUUAUAGAUGGAUCCGCGCCGCAUUAGCUAGUUGGUAAGGUAACGGCUUACCAAGGCAACGAUGCGUAGCCGACCUGAGAGGGUGAUCGGCCACACUGGAACUGAGACACGGUCCAGACUCCUACGGGAGGCAGCAGUAGGGAAUCUUCCGCAAUGGGCGAAAGCUUGACGGAGCAACGCCGCGUGAGUGAUGAAGGUCUUCGGAUCGUAAAACUCUGUUAUUAGGGAAGAACAAAUGUGUAAGUAACUAUGCACGUCUUGACGGUACCUAAUCAGAAAGCCACGGCUAACUACGUG